UAUUGAAACACCGGUUACCAUACAAACACCAAAGUUAAGCAACAUUGAGCCUAGUCAGCACCUAAAUGGGUGACUGCUUGGAAAUACCAGCUGCUGUAAG
RNAcentral lists this ribosomal RNA (100 nucleotides) under Acanthosepion pharaonis. Lineage: Eukaryota; Metazoa; Mollusca; Cephalopoda; Sepiida; Sepiidae. The record is from RNAcentral.